Molecule: non-coding RNA, 1879 nt
Organism: Prunus avium (sweet cherry)
Lineage: Eukaryota; Viridiplantae; Streptophyta; Magnoliopsida; Rosales; Rosaceae
Source: RefSeq, a predicted model, not a curated record
CCUAAGUCUAUGUACUAUAAUUUUUUGGAUUUAUCUUCUGAAACUUUUUUCUUGGACUUUACUGUGAUUCUGGGUUCUUCUGUUCAUGUUUCAUUUUCUUUCUCUACUUUAUUUAUUUAUUUUUGGAUAAGAAACGAAAUUUUUAUUAAAAACGGUGGAAAAGUACAUCUGAACUUGAUAUACUUAUUUCUGCAGCAUUGGAUCAUUGUUACUUUUCAAGAGACAAGCUUGCUAUUUAUGAUAUUAUGGUUUCAUUUAACUGAACUGAGCUUUCACCCUGAAAAAUUAGAGUCUGCUUCUUAUAGUAGUGAUCCUUCUAUUAAUAGGGAGUGGAAAAAGAAAUUUCUUUUGUCAUGAUCACAUCAAAAUGCGAAGAAAGGUGAGUGAGCAGAGUUCAGUUAGAGCUUUUUUGUUGUUGUUGUUGCUGAUUUUAUUGCCCCAUGAGAAUGUAAAGCAAUUAUUGGUGCUGAGAAUCUACUUCUUAUGGUAUUGAUGCUCUGUUAAUUGGGAGCAGAGGGAGAGAACUUAUUUUUGUCAUUUUUAUAGAUAAAUAUGGAGAAAGUUGAACUCACAAGAAUUCUAAUUAACUUGCCCUUCCUUUUGAAAUUUAAUAGGAAUCUGGGAAGGAUAGUCAGGAGAAGAAAAAGAACCAUAUCAAGGCACUUCCUAUCUGGGAUACAGCUGGCUAUGAACGAUUUUAAAGCCUUGGUGUAGCUUUUUACUGUGGGGCUUGUUGUUGUGUUUGUAAGUUCUUUCAUGCCUUUAUUCAAUAACACUAACCUUGGUCAGACAUAGCUUCGGUAGGUAAGAUAGAAAUCUUAUUUUCCUAUGCAGUCCUUAAACUCUCUCUCUAAUGGGGUGAGAUUUCUGAAUGAGUAGGUAAUCGACUGCUAGGAAGGGACCUCUACUUAUAUGCAUUUUCUUAAGUUUCCUGCCCAUUAAGAAACACUUAAGUAAUCCAAUUUGCAUUAGGGUAGGUUGUUUUAAUCCAUAUGGAAUUAGGAGUUCUCUAGGUUGUUGUUUCCUAUUAAAACACUCAAUGGAAAAGAACUGCAGAUAAUGUUCAAGUCUAUACUCCUAGAUCAGUGCAAACUGCAGAGUCCUUAUAUGAUUAGAAGACCAUAAUCAUGUAAGACAAGAUAUUGUCUUACAGUGUUCUUGUCUAUGAUGUUAAUUCAAUGAAAUCAUUUGAUAACCUUAACAACUGGAGGGAAGAAUUUCUUAUUCAGGUAUGUUUUGGGGUUUUUAUUUUGUGUGUGGCUAUUUUCUUAAGAAUUGCAUCACUUACAAACCCUUCCAAUCGUCGUUUCUUUUUUCUGGAUCAGGUUUUGGUUGUUUAUCAAGUACAAUACCAAAAUCUGGAAUUGCAUAAUAAACAAGAAUGUGAAGAUAGGAAGAAACAUGGUUAUCACAAAUACUGAUGUUAGUGCUCCUUCUUUUGAAAUUUAAGACUUGAAAUGCUCGUGCAACUUAAAAGAAAUUUGAAUUAUUUCUGACUUAAAAAAUUGCUGGACAAAAUGCUUUGAACAUGGAGUUGUAGAAGCAGAUGUGGCAAUGGAAGGAUUUUAUAUUCGGUCUGGAAUCAGAGCCAUACUGAAGAAUGCAACCAUUAAAGAUGGAACUGUCAUUUAAAUCCAUCAAUUUACUACAGCGUACUUAGAUUGAGCCUUGGUGACAGUACCUUGAUGAAUUUCCUCAUGUGUGCUUUUACUAAAUUUGGAUUCUGGAUGUUAUAUUUAUGUUUAAAGUAAGUGCAGUUCUAUUUUGUAUCCAUCAUUCUGAAACAUUAACUUGAGUAUGAGUUAGGCGGCAUGCAUAUUUUGUAUUCUAUUUUGUAUUUUUAUUUCUAGGGUGGAGGGCUAACAUUGCCAAUGUAUUA